AUUGAACGCUGGCGGCAGGCCUAACACAUGCAAGUCGAACGGUAACAGGAAGACGCUUGCUUCUUUGUUGACGAGUGGCGGACGGGCGGGAAAUGUCUGGGAAACUGCCUGAUGGAGGGGGAUAACUACCGGAAACGGUCGCUACUAUCGCAUAACGUCUCAAGACCAAAGAGGGGGACCUUCGGGCCUCUCGCCAUCGGGUGUGCCCAGGUUGGAUUCGGUAGUCGGUGGGGUAACGGCUCACAUCGGCGACGAUGCCUAGAUGGUCUGAGAGGAAGGCCAGCGACACUGGAAGUGGGACACGCUCCACACGCCUUCGGGAGGCGGCAGUGGGGAAUUUUGCACAAUGGGCGCAAGCCUGAUGCAGCCAUGCCGGGUGUAUGAAGAAGGCCGUCGGGUUGUAAAGGACUUUCAGCGGGGAGGAAGUGAGUAAAGUUAAUACCUAUGCUCAUUGGCGUUACCCGCAGAAGAAGCACCGGCUAACUCCGUG
Molecule: ribosomal RNA, 490 nt
Filed under: uncultured bacterium
Lineage: Bacteria
Description: partial 16S ribosomal RNA
Rfam family: Bacterial small subunit ribosomal RNA
Source: RNAcentral